Molecule: ribosomal RNA, 460 nt
Filed under: uncultured bacterium
Lineage: Bacteria
Description: partial 16S ribosomal RNA
Rfam family: Bacterial small subunit ribosomal RNA
Source: RNAcentral
CCUACGGGUGGCAGCAGUGAGGAAUAUUGGUCAAUGGACGAGAGUCUGAACCAGCCAAGUAGCGUGAAGGAUGACGGCCCUAUGGGUUGUAAACUUCUUUUAUAUGGGAAUAAAACGUUCCACGUGUGGGAUUUUGUAUGUACCAUAUGAAUAAGGAUCGGCGAACUCCGUGCCAGCAGCCGCGGUAAUACGGAGGAUCCGAGCGUUAUCCGGAUUUAUUGGGUUUAAAGGGAGCGUAGGUGGAUUGUUAAGUCAGAUGUGAAAGUUUGCGGCUCAACCGUAAAAUUGCAGUUGAAACUGGCAGUCUUGAGUACAGUAGAGGUAGGCGGAAUUCGUGGUGUAGCGGUGAAAUGCUGAGAUAUCACGAAGAACUCCGAUUGCGAAGGCAGUUCACUGGACUGCAACUGACACUGAGGCUCGAAAGUGUGGGUAUCAAACAGGAUUAGAUACCCCAGUAGUC